RNAcentral lists this unclassified non-coding RNA (202 nucleotides) under Hevea brasiliensis (rubber tree). Lineage: Eukaryota; Viridiplantae; Streptophyta; Magnoliopsida; Malpighiales; Euphorbiaceae. The record is from RNAcentral.
AUUGACCACUAAGCCUAACCGUGUUACCUCUUUGGCUCUUCUUUCCCUUUCUAUUCGAGCAGACUAUUCUUCCCCUUCCUAUCCAUUCUUGUCUGUUAUCCUACUAAUCAUUUGAGAACUGCAGAAGUUAUGCAAAUUAGAUUUUGGUAAAAAAAGAUCUUUAUUCUUCAAUAAAAAAACAUAUGCCUAUCCAUUUUUUGAG